RNAcentral lists this ribosomal RNA (1387 nucleotides) under Escherichia coli. Its description in RNAcentral is "partial 23S ribosomal RNA". It matches the Rfam family "Bacterial large subunit ribosomal RNA", at positions 354 to 1746 of the family's 2925-position model. The record is from RNAcentral. Lineage: Bacteria; Pseudomonadati; Pseudomonadota; Gammaproteobacteria; Enterobacterales; Enterobacteriaceae.
GCGAUACAGGGUGACAGCCCCGUACACAAAAAUGCACAUGCUGUGAGCUCGAUGAGUAGGGCGGGACACGUGGUAUCCUGUCUGAAUAUGGGGGGACCAUCCUCCAAGGCUAAAUACUCCUGACUGACCGAUAGUGAACCAGUACCGUGAGGGAAAGGCGAAAAGAACCCCGGCGAGGGGAGUGAAAAAGAACCUGAAACCGUGUACGUACAAGCAGUGGGAGCACGCUUAGGCGUGUGACUGCGUACCUUUUGUAUAAUGGGUCAGCGACUUAUAUUCUGUAGCAAGGUUAACCGAAUAGGGGAGCCGAAGGGAAACCGAGUCUUAACUGGGCGUUAAGUUGCAGGGUAUAGACCCGAAACCCGGUGAUCUAGCCAUGGGCAGGUUGAAGGUUGGGUAACACUAACUGGAGGACCGAACCGACUAAUGUUGAAAAAUUAGCGGAUGACUUGUGGCUGGGGGUGAAAGGCCAAUCAAACCGGGAGAUAGCUGGUUCUCCCCGAAAGCUAUUUAGGUAGCGCCUCGUGAAUUCAUCUCCGGGGGUAGAGCACUGUUUCGGCAAGGGGGUCAUCCCGACUUACCAACCCGAUGCAAACUGCGAAUACCGGAGAAUGUUAUCACGGGAGACACACGGCGGGUGCUAACGUCCGUCGUGAAGAGGGAAACAACCCAGACCGCCAGCUAAGGUCCCAAAGUCAUGGUUAAGUGGGAAACGAUGUGGGAAGGCCCAGACAGCCAGGAUGUUGGCUUAGAAGCAGCCAUCAUUUAAAGAAAGCGUAAUAGCUCACUGGUCGAGUCGGCCUGCGCGGAAGAUGUAACGGGGCUAAACCAUGCACCGAAGCUGCGGCAGCGACGCUUAUGCGUUGUUGGGUAGGGGAGCGUUCUGUAAGCCUGCGAAGGUGUGCUGUGAGGCAUGCUGGAGGUAUCAGAAGUGCGAAUGCUGACAUAAGUAACGAUAAAGCGGGUGAAAAGCCCGCUCGCCGGAAGACCAAGGGUUCCUGUCCAACGUUAAUCGGGGCAGGGUGAGUCGACCCCUAAGGCGAGGCCGAAAGGCGUAGUCGAUGGGAAACAGGUUAAUAUUCCUGUACUUGGUGUUACUGCGAAGGGGGGACGGAGAAGGCUAUGUUGGCCGGGCGACGGUUGUCCCGGUUUAAGCGUGUAGGCUGGUUUUCCAGGCAAAUCCGGAAAAUCAAGGCUGAGGCGUGAUGACGAGGCACUACGGUGCUGAAGCAACAAAUGCCCUGCUUCCAGGAAAAGCCUCUAAGCAUCAGGUAACAUCAAAUCGUACCCCAAACCGACACAGGUGGUCAGGUAGAGAAUACCAAGGCGCUUGAGAGAACUCGGGUGAAGGAACUAGGCAAAAUGGUGCCGUAACUUCGGGAGAAGG